AUCAUCACGAGGAAGUUUGGUCGAAGCUGCACGAACGCAUACUUCAAUUUUGUUUUUAGAGAUGUAAUUAUGUCAUGCGAACGUGUACACAAUCAUAAUUGUACUCUUAAACGCACGCCUAAAGGCUUUUCUACGGUUACUCAUAAUUAUCGUCCUACCAAGUCCAGAAAAUUUUGGAGGCAUAACAGUUCUCACAAACAAAUCAAUGACA
Molecule: long non-coding RNA, 211 nt
Filed under: Nicotiana benthamiana
Lineage: Eukaryota; Viridiplantae; Streptophyta; Magnoliopsida; Solanales; Solanaceae
Description: long non-coding RNA (NBEN_LNC031442)
Source: RNAcentral